UGGUGGUCAAGUGGUCUAAGGAGUCAAACUACCAGAAGUCUGUCAACACUAAGGUUGAGUUCAAACCUUACAUGUGGCAGGUGUGUUCGACUCUGGUGGUCAAGUGGUCUAAGGAAUCAAACUACCAGAAGCCUGUCAACACUAAGGUUGAGUUCAAACCUUACAUGUGGCAGGUGUGUUCGACUCUGGUGGUCAAGUGGUCUAAGGAAUCAAACUACCAGAAGCCUGUCAACACUAAGGUUGAGUUCAAACCUUACAUGUGGCAGGUGUGUUCGACUAAAUUCGUAAUUGACUAGGAUUAUCAGGGUUUUUUUUACCAAGGAUUUUUGUGUUCCUUAACAAGUGUAAUGCAUGUAGUCAAAAGAACCACAAUAUUUUAUUUAAAAUUGAG
Molecule: long non-coding RNA, 391 nt
Filed under: Mytilus galloprovincialis (Mediterranean mussel)
Lineage: Eukaryota; Metazoa; Mollusca; Bivalvia; Mytilida; Mytilidae
Source: RNAcentral